Molecule: long non-coding RNA, 232 nt
Filed under: Lathyrus oleraceus (garden pea)
Lineage: Eukaryota; Viridiplantae; Streptophyta; Magnoliopsida; Fabales; Fabaceae
Description: Pisum sativum (pea) long non-coding RNA (PSAT_LNC034883)
Source: RNAcentral
AAGCAUGCUUGUAUUGUAUAUUAUUUCUUUUCUUAUUUUGAUUACUAACCAAAAGCACAAAAAUAUGUCACUAACUCUUUUUGUUUUGAAGCUCAAGUGAUCAUGUGCUCCCAUGCUCCUAGGAGGCUCCUAAGCUCAAAAGCACAAAAAUAUGUCACUAACUCUUUUUGUUUUGAAGCUCAAGUGAUCAUGUGCUCCCAUGCUCCUAGGAGGCUCCUAAGCUCAAUGAAGU